Molecule: ribosomal RNA, 303 nt
Filed under: uncultured Fusobacterium sp.
Lineage: Bacteria; Fusobacteriati; Fusobacteriota; Fusobacteriia; Fusobacteriales; Fusobacteriaceae
Description: bacterial SSU rRNA
Rfam family: Bacterial small subunit ribosomal RNA
Source: RNAcentral
GGCUACACACGUGCUACAAUGGGUAGAACAGAGAGUUGCAAAGCCGUGAGGUGGAGCUAAUCUCAGAAAACUAUUCUUAGUUCGGAUUGUACUCUGCAACUCGAGUACAUGAAGUUGGAAUCGCUAGUAAUCGCGAAUCAGCAAUGUCGCGGUGAAUACGUUCUCGGGUCUUGUACACACCGCCCGUCACACCACGAGAGUUGGUUGCACCUGAAGUAGCAGGCCUAACCGUAAGGAGGGAUGCUCCGAGGGUGUGAUUAGCGAUUGGGGUGAAGUCGUAACAAGGUAUCCGUACGGGAACGU